UGGGGAAUUUUGGACAAUGGGGGAAACCCUGAUCCAGCCAUCCCGCGUGUGCGAUGAAGGCCUUCGGGUUGUAAAGCACUUUUGGCAGGAAAGAAACGUCAUGGGUUAAUACCCCGUGAAACUGACGGUACCUGCAGAAUAAGCACCGGCUCACUACGUGCCAGCAGCCGCGGUAAUACGUAGGGUGCAAGCGUUAAUCGGAAUUACUGGGCUUAAAGCGUGCGCAGGCGGUUCGGAAAGAAAGAUGUGAAAUCCCAGGGCUCAACUUUGGAACUGCAUUUUUAACUACCGGGCUAGAGUGUGUCAGAGGGAGGUGGAAUUCCGCGUGUAGAAGUGAAAUGCGUAGAUAUGCGGAGGAAAACCGAUGGCGAAGGCAGCAUCCUGGGAUAACACUGACGCUCAUGCACGAAAGCGUGGGGAGCAAACAGG
RNAcentral lists this ribosomal RNA (429 nucleotides) under Acidobacteriota bacterium. Its description in RNAcentral is "Acidobacteria bacterium partial 16S ribosomal RNA". It matches the Rfam family "Bacterial small subunit ribosomal RNA", at positions 355 to 776 of the family's 1533-position model. Lineage: Bacteria; Pseudomonadati; Acidobacteriota. The record is from RNAcentral.